Marmota monax (woodchuck) is the source of this 542-nucleotide long non-coding RNA. RefSeq lists it as uncharacterized. Lineage: Eukaryota; Metazoa; Chordata; Mammalia; Rodentia; Sciuridae. The transcript is spliced from 3 exons. The record is from RefSeq and is a predicted model, not a curated record.
UAAGUGCCCGGCGGCCGCUAAUAACAGACGCUGGCCCAGUCAGGCUGCAGGAGCAAGUCACAAGGGCCUCACUGGCUCAGAGGGAGAAGGGGGACCAGCCUGAGAGGCGGGGAGACCCACCGAACCCAGCGGAAGGCCAUCUGAGCAUACGUCCAAACAGCUCCAAAGGCACAGUCCUUGGUCUCCAGCAGCCUCACCUCUAGGAACUCAGACCCAGGGGCUGAGAUGGGAGAGAUGGAGACCCAGCUAGAGAGGCGCCCACUGCUUAUAAGAGAAAAGAAGUGACAGUGUCCAUGUCCAAUGGAGGAGCCAGUCAGGAAAUCCUCUACUCGUAACUGUACGUGGUGUAUGUAUUAUAUACGCAUAUACAAAGGUCUGGAUGUACACAUUCCAAAAUGGGGCCAGGCCAGGGCCAGGCUUACCUGCGGCACCUCCACGGCCGUCAUGGCGAAGAGGUGGAGACAGAAGAUCUUGGAGCCGUUGUAGCCGACCACGAAGCCCUGCAGCCUCUGCUGGUGCACGGGGAAGGUGCUGGCCUUGAU